This 535-nucleotide long non-coding RNA is filed under the name Jatropha curcas. RNAcentral describes it as "long non-coding RNA (JCUR_LNC003368)". The record is from RNAcentral. Lineage: Eukaryota; Viridiplantae; Streptophyta; Magnoliopsida; Malpighiales; Euphorbiaceae.
UCAUGAACCUUUCCUUCAAACAAUGCUUGUUGAACUGCACAUAUCUGCAAUUCACCAAAAAGUGCAGCAGCAUGAGACUCCAAUUGCUCAACCUCAUCUCUUCCUUUUCGUAGUUCAUAAUUCAAACUUUCCUCCCUGCUCUUCGCUUCUAAAAGGUCUCCAUUCAAUUUCACCAUUUCAGUCUCCAAUCCCUUAUUUGCUUCACGAAUACACUCUCCCUCCUUACUCUGUUGAUCAUAAUCCCCACACAGUUUGAUGAUCUUCUUUUCCUGACCUGCUCGUAUUAACUCAACCUCACCAUACUUGCACCGCAGAUCCUCCACCUCAUCUCUUCCUUUUUGUAGUUCAUAAUUCAAACUUUCCUCCCUGCUCUUCGCUUCUAAAAGGUCUCCAUUCAAUUUCUCUAUUUCAGUCUCCAAUCCCUUAUUUGCUUCACGAAUACACUCUACCUCCUUACUCUGUUGAUCAUAAUCCCCACAUAGUUUGAUGAUCUGCUUUUCCUGACCUGCUCGUAUUAAUUCAACCUCAUCAUACU